UCCCUUCCAGUCUUGGGGGACCACCCUAUGC
This 31-nucleotide non-coding RNA is filed under the name Rattus norvegicus (Norway rat). Lineage: Eukaryota; Metazoa; Chordata; Mammalia; Rodentia; Muridae. The record is from RNAcentral.